UUAUAUUUAAGUCGUCUGGAAAGUCUUCCAGUCUUCCAGCUGGAAGACUUUCCAGACGACUUAAUUAUA
RNAcentral lists this microRNA precursor (69 nucleotides) under Brassica oleracea var. oleracea. RNAcentral describes it as "pre miRNA MIR477". The record is from RNAcentral. Lineage: Eukaryota; Viridiplantae; Streptophyta; Magnoliopsida; Brassicales; Brassicaceae.